GAGCCAUAUUUUCGCCAUCAUCACAAUAUCCUAUCAGAGCAGUCAAGAAUUUAUGAUGAACUACAGCAAGAAGUUUGGCCUGAAAAUCAGAAAGCAACAAUUCAUUCAAUAUCCUUGAGCUGAGGGAGAGAGCAUUUUGACAGCUACCUCAGUAUCAUCUAUCCAGCCAUGGUACACUGUAGCAAAUCCUCCUUUCCCAACAACCCUUUCAAAAUUUCUGGUCAUGCUCAAGACUUCGGCAUAGAAAGAAAUCACUGUUAUUACUAGUAUCAUGAAAGCUCCACCAAGUGAUGCCACCAGUGGAACUACAACCUUAUUCCCAUUCUUGUUGUUGCAUGAUGAACCUGAUUUGAUAUGCCAGGGGCUAUGUUUCCUAUUAAACCACUGAAAGAUAAGUUCCUAAAAGCAUGAAUGUAAGGUUCAUCAAUAUUUAUUGAAGAUAAAACUGUGAAGUUGCAGUUAAAACUAAAGGAUCAGUAUAUGUGUAUUUCAAGCCAAGCCAAACUUACAAGUAUAUGAUCCUUGGUGAAUCAGAUUCAGCAUAGCUGCAGUUAAGACCAUCCCACAAGUAAGCCAGUGGGGUACAAGGAUCUCCUUGCCAGUUUCUCUUGAUCCCAUAGAUUGACUUGACAUUUAUGAUACCAUCAACUAUUAUCAUAAAUAUAAGUAGGUCAGGCAGAAAAUGUAAAACUAUGAGUAAUAAUAAGACUAGUGCAUGCUAAUAAUGAUGUGCAGGGUCUGGAUCAAUUAUAAUAAGUUGAUUUUAGAAAUAAAAAUCAGCAUAUUUAAAAACAUACCAUCUGUUUGAUAUGUUUCUGAUAGUGAGAAGUUUUUUGUCAUGUAUAUCUCGAUGGCGUUGAGAAGAGGUGGAAGAGUCGAUCCACUAGUUUUAUUAAUCCAAAGUUCCAACGGAUUUUCAAUUAUUGCUAAAUGAUACGCAUUCUGCAGUUCAGCAAAGAACAUGUACACAUAACAUGUGGAUGCAUUAUUUUUGGGAAGGAAGUGGAAUUCUAUAUUGUCAUUGACAUUUGCUGGAAUUGCUGCAGUUCCCAUGACAAUGGAAGGCGGCAAUGGUAAAAAAUCAAAUGACGUAGUAGCAUCAUGGUCUAUGUGUUGAAUAAACAAACAUGAGCAUAAUUGGAUGAAGCAGCAUAAAUGAUUUCCUUGGUGACUACACUGGAUGCAUCCUGAAACACCACUGAUCCCCACCAACUGUCUCCAAGAUAGAUGUCAAACUCGGGAAGAGAGUCUUUUCCAUCGUAAUUUCCAUAUGCAAACCUUGCCCUCACUAAAUAUUUCUUGCUACUUACUUGAGGAACAACAAGGGUAUAGCAGUUCCUGGUUCCAUCCGGGAAGCUUCUAACAUUCCAGAACUGCCUGUCAAGGGAAGCCUUGUAUUUAGAUGAUAUACUGUGGCUUACACCACUGUUUGUGAAGUUGACAUCCGAAGAGUAAUAGAUGGAAGUGGUUUCAUCUGUGUAGUUUGGUUCAUCCUCAAGUCCGCAGUCAAUACUAAUGAAGCCUGUAAAAGGUGGAAGAGCUUAAGUUCAAAGAACAAUAAAUAGUGUGGUAGGAUUCAGGAUAAUGAAAUGACACUACCGAACCUGAUUGAUUCUGUGCUCGAACAAUGAUAGGAAGAGUUAAAGAGAGAUGAAACAUCAGAAAUAGAAAGUGUCCUUCCAUUUCUGAACUGUGUAAAUAGUAAAUUGAAAAUUCGUUAUAGACUUAAAGUUGGAGCCUCUUGUUUUGUUGUUGGGCUAACUAGUAGUUACCUCCACGAGAUUGGAGAUUGAAGAUUGGAGAUAGGAGAUAACAAGCCAAUUCCAAGAAUGAUUAUGCUUGAUCAUUCAAUGAUGAUAUUCAUUUUAAUCUUUGUAAGGGUUAUGGUAUGUUGAAAUCAAGUUUGGCUGCUUACCGAAUUCUUUUUCA
Glycine soja is the source of this 1929-nucleotide long non-coding RNA. RefSeq lists it as uncharacterized. Lineage: Eukaryota; Viridiplantae; Streptophyta; Magnoliopsida; Fabales; Fabaceae. The transcript is spliced from 6 exons. The record is from RefSeq and is a predicted model, not a curated record.